Molecule: ribosomal RNA, 523 nt
Filed under: uncultured bacterium
Lineage: Bacteria
Description: bacterial SSU rRNA
Rfam family: Bacterial small subunit ribosomal RNA
Source: RNAcentral
UGGGGAAUCUUGCGCAAUGGGGGAAACCCUGACGCAGCGACGCCGCGUGGAGGAUGAAGGUCUUCGGGUUGUAAACUCCUUUUCUUGGGGAAAAUGAUGAUGGUACUCAAGGAAUAAGCCACGGCUAACUCUGUGCCAGCAGCCGCGGUAAGACAGAGGUGGCGAGCGUUGUUCGGAAUUACUGGGCUUAAAGGGCGAGUAGGCGGUAGAGCAAGUCUGAGGUGGAAUCCUAUGGCUUAACCAUAGAACUGCCUUAGAAACUGCUUUACUUGAGUCAGUGAGGGGAGGGCGGAAUUCCUGGUGUAGCGGUGAAAUGCGUAGAUAUCAGGAGGAAGGCCUGUGGCGAAAGCGGCCCUCUGGCACUGUACUGACGCUGAGGCGCGAAAGCGUGGGGAGCAAACAGGAUUAGAUACCCUGGUAGUCCACGCCCUAAACGGUGGGCAUUAGGUGUAGGGCUCGUAAGGGUUCUGUGCCGAAGGGAAACCAUUAAAUGCCCCGCCUGGGGAGUACGGCCGCAAGGUUG